Molecule: ribosomal RNA, 375 nt
Filed under: uncultured bacterium
Lineage: Bacteria
Description: bacterial SSU rRNA
Rfam family: Bacterial small subunit ribosomal RNA
Source: RNAcentral
UACGAAGGGUGCGAACGUUAUUCGGAUUUAUUGGGCGUAAAGGGUACGCAGGCGGUGCGUUAAGUCAACUGUUAAAUCUCCCGGCCUAACUGGGAAUCAGCGGUAGAUACUGGCACACUAGAGGAUGGAAGAGAGAAGUGGAAUUCUUGGAGUAGAGGUAAAAUUCGUAGAUCUCAAGAGGAACACCGAUGGCGAAGGCAGCUUCUUGGUCCAUUUCUGACGCUCAGGUACGAAAGCGUGGGGAGCAAACAGGAUUAGAUACCCUGGUAGUCCACGCUGUAAACGAUGAUCACUAGACGUUGGUUCUACUCUGUAGAAUUAGUGUCGUAGCUAACGCGUUAAGUGAUCCGCCUGGGGACUACGGUCGCAAGAUUA